RNAcentral lists this ribosomal RNA (254 nucleotides) under uncultured bacterium. Its description in RNAcentral is "partial 16S ribosomal RNA". It matches the Rfam family "Bacterial small subunit ribosomal RNA", at positions 524 to 776 of the family's 1533-position model. The record is from RNAcentral.
UACGUAGGGGGCGAGCGUUGUCCGAAUUUACUGGGCGUAAAGCGCGCGUAGGCGGUUUCUUAAGUCUGGGGUGAAAGGUUCAACGCUCAACGUGAACAGUGCCUUGGAUACUGGGAGACUUGAGUCUGGGAGGGGGUAGUGGAAUUCCUGGUGUAGCGGUGAAAUGCGCAGAUAUCAGGAGGAACACCGGUGGCGAAGGCGGGUCUCUGGGCCGAUACUGACGCUGAGGAGCGAAAGCGUGGGGAGCGAACAGG